GAUCUGGGCACGUGAUGUGUAGGAUAGGCCGGAGGCAUUGAAGCAGGUACGCCAGUAUUUGUGGAGCCGCCGUUGAAAUACGGCCCUUUAUUUGUUUGGAUUCUAACUCCUAGUCGGAGGACAUUGCUUGGUGGGUAGUUUGACUGGGGUGGUCGCCUCCAAAAGCGUAACGGAGGCUUCUAAAGGUGCCCUCAGGACGAUCGGUAACCGUCCGCAGAGUGUAAUG
This 226-nucleotide ribosomal RNA is filed under the name Bacteroides caecicola. RNAcentral describes it as "partial 23S ribosomal RNA". It matches the Rfam family "Bacterial large subunit ribosomal RNA", at positions 2120 to 2356 of the family's 2925-position model. Lineage: Bacteria; Pseudomonadati; Bacteroidota; Bacteroidia; Bacteroidales; Bacteroidaceae. The record is from RNAcentral.